This 301-nucleotide ribosomal RNA is filed under the name uncultured bacterium. Its description in RNAcentral is "partial 16S ribosomal RNA". It matches the Rfam family "Bacterial small subunit ribosomal RNA", at positions 509 to 807 of the family's 1533-position model. The record is from RNAcentral.
CAGCAGCCGCGGGAAUACGUAGGUGGCAAGCGUUGUCCGGAAUGAUUGGGCGUAAAGGGCGCGCAGGCGGCUGUGUAAGUCUGUCUAGAAAGUGCGGGGCUAAACCCCGUGAGAGGAUGGAAACUGGACAGCUGAGAGUGUCGGAGAGGAAAGCGGAAUUCCUAGUGUAGCGGUGAAAUGCGUAGAUAUUAGGAGGAACACCGGUGGCGAAAGCGGCUUUCUGGACGACAACUGACGCUGAGGCGCGAAAGCCAGGGGAGCAAACGGGAUUAGAUACCCCAGUAGUCCCUGUCUCUUAUAC